Molecule: long non-coding RNA, 756 nt
Filed under: Marmota monax (woodchuck)
Lineage: Eukaryota; Metazoa; Chordata; Mammalia; Rodentia; Sciuridae
Source: RNAcentral
GAAGAUUUAGUCACAUAUUACUUAAUUAUGCAAUUAUAAUGUGUGCCUUUUCGGAGCAGAAGGGCCUGGUUGGGAAUCACUAAAUCCUAGUUCUUCUUUACACCUUUCCUUUCCCUGACUGUGUCUCCUUUCUGUGGAUCCAGCCAGCAGGAUAACCUCUGCUGUGACUCUGUUCCCUGUGCCCUGAAGGACCUUAGAAAGUCCAUGACUUUAUCGCAGAGGCUUUGGGAGAGGAAGUGUGCAGGGGCUGGCAAGUCCUGGGGACUCUGGAGCUGUGGUGUGUGCCUCACCCUGCAUGUUUUACACAUCACUCCUUCCUCUUAGGGAAAGCUUCUUAGAAGUAGAGCAGCUCUCAGAGCCAUGGCAGAGCCUUUUGCUAAAUUCCCAGGUUGGAUCUCAAAAGCAGAGUGACCUUUAACCCUGUGGAGUUUUACUUGUAUGUCUUCCUAACACGCAUGAGAAAACUGAGGCCAAGGGAAGGGGGUUGGCCAGCUUCCCAGCUCACACAGCUCUGCUGGAACUUCUACCUGUCUAGUCUGUCAGUCACAGUCAUGGCAGCCAAAACACACAAAACAGGAACUUCUGCCCUUAAUUAGGUUGCACCAUGCAGAAGUGUGACUGGGUUCUUCUGUUUGAAUCAGUCCCUUGUAACCCCAGAUAAUCUGUCAAACACAAUUUGACAGAACAAAUUUUGGUUGCUCUUAAAUGCACUGGAAGUACCUGGGGACUGCCACAUUCAUCCAGGGGAACAGUGAU